RNAcentral lists this transfer RNA (82 nucleotides) under Patescibacteria group bacterium. RNAcentral describes it as "tRNA-Leu". It matches the Rfam family "tRNA". From Rfam's summary of the family: Transfer RNA (tRNA) molecules are approximately 80 nucleotides in length. The record is from RNAcentral.
GCUGGAGUGGCGGAACUGGCAGACGCGCAUGGCUUAGGACCAUGUGGAGCAAUCCAUGAGAGUUCGAGUCUCUCCUCCAGCA